Molecule: non-coding RNA, 21 nt
Filed under: Caenorhabditis elegans
Lineage: Eukaryota; Metazoa; Nematoda; Chromadorea; Rhabditida; Rhabditidae
Source: RNAcentral
UGAUAAUUUUGGGCAAUUUUU